Molecule: ribosomal RNA, 490 nt
Filed under: uncultured bacterium
Lineage: Bacteria
Description: bacterial SSU rRNA
Rfam family: Bacterial small subunit ribosomal RNA
Source: RNAcentral
AUUGAACGCUGGCGGCAUGCUUUACACAUGCAAGUCGAACGGCAGCGGGGGCUUCGGCCUGCCGGCGAGUGGCGAACGGGUGAGUAAUACAUCGGAACGUGUCCUUGAGUGGGGAAUAACGCAUCGAAAGAUGUGCUAAUACCGCAUAUCUCUGAGGAGAAAAGCAGGGGAUCGCAAGACCUUGCGCUAAAGGAGCGGCUGAUGUCUGAUUAGCUAGUUGGUGAGGUAAAGGCUCACCAAGGCAACGAUCAGUAGUUGGUCUGAGAGGACGGCCAACCACACUGGGACUGAGACACGGCCCAGACUCCUACGGGAGGCAGCAGUGGGGAAUUUUGGACAAUGGGCGAAAGCCUGAUCCAGCCAUGCCGCGUGAGUGAAGAAGGCCUUCGGGUUGUAAGCUCUUUUAGUCGGUAAAGAAAGAAUCAUAAUAGAACAAUUAUAGAUUCAUGACGGUACCGACAAGAAAAGACAACCGGCUAACUACGUGACC